This 72-nucleotide transfer RNA is filed under the name Urocitellus parryii (Arctic ground squirrel). Its description in RNAcentral is "Spermophilus parryii (Arctic ground squirrel) tRNA". It matches the Rfam family "tRNA". From Rfam's summary of the family: Transfer RNA (tRNA) molecules are approximately 80 nucleotides in length. Their secondary structure includes four short double-helical elements and three loops (D, anti-codon, and T loops). The record is from Rfam by way of RNAcentral. RNAcentral also lists the same sequence under 1 other name. Lineage: Eukaryota; Metazoa; Chordata; Mammalia; Rodentia; Sciuridae.
GGUGGUGUAGCUCAGUGGUAGAGCACUUGCCCAACUUGCACAAGGCCCUGGGUUCAACCCCCAGCACCACAA